This 330-nucleotide small RNA is filed under the name Histoplasma capsulatum. RNAcentral describes it as "hypothetical RNA". The record is from RNAcentral. Lineage: Eukaryota; Fungi; Ascomycota; Eurotiomycetes; Onygenales; Ajellomycetaceae. RNAcentral also lists the same sequence under 1 other name.
AGAUUGGUUUCUUACGUCCUUGGGUAAUUCUUCUUUCGAGAGCCUUCCUGUGUGGCUCCUCAUGGUUGGGGUUUACUGGCAAAAUAUAGUCCGCUAUCGCAAAAGGGCAAAGCGUUUGGCUGAGUGCUUACUUGAGAAACUCCGUCUGGUGUCUGACGCCGGUCAAAAUGCACACUUGAACCCCCUUGCGCAGCGCCUAUCUCGCCUGACCAAAACAUUAACCCUGUAUCAUCCAUCCUCCUUUAUUCUUCCUCGGACCUGGGCCAAAUACGAAAGUGUACUAUUAUCAUGUCUAGACAUGAACCUCCCAGACGACAAGGCCGCUUUCCA